GUCGCUGCCGCCACCACCACCAUGCUGUGCAACAAGGAGCGGACCGGUUACCAGGGGGGCGGCGGGAGAGCGCGAGGCGGCGCGCGGAGCAGCGCCCGGGAGAGGAAGCCCAUGUCCCUCCGCAUAAAUCAGGAGGAAGGGAGGAGGUGCCACCGCUUCUGCAGCAGGAGCAGUGGACUGGGAGUCCCCAAGAUGAUUGGGAACCAUCUAUCCUGGAGUGCUGGCCAGGACAGCCGGAGGGAGCAGCCACCUGACUGGGAGACGAAAGCCAUCAUAAUUCAAAGAGCCUGGCGCAACAUGCUGUACCGUAAGCAAAGCUGGAGCAAUGGCUGCGAGGACAACGUGUGCCGUCACUAUGACUUGACCCCGGAGAGGCCACUUCACGCAGCCCU
RNAcentral lists this long non-coding RNA (392 nucleotides) under Scleropages formosus (Asian bonytongue). Its description in RNAcentral is "lncRNA (ENSSFOG00015031333.1)". Lineage: Eukaryota; Metazoa; Chordata; Actinopteri; Osteoglossiformes; Osteoglossidae. The record is from RNAcentral.